Molecule: ribosomal RNA, 303 nt
Filed under: uncultured bacterium
Lineage: Bacteria
Description: partial 16S ribosomal RNA
Rfam family: Bacterial small subunit ribosomal RNA
Source: RNAcentral
AGCAGCAGCCACGGUAAUACGGAGGGUGCAAGCGUUAAUCGGAAUUACUGGGCGUAAAGCGCACGCAGGCGGUCUGACAAGUCAGAUGUGAAAUCCCCGGGCUUAACCUGGGAACUGCAUUUGAAACUGUCAGGCUGGAGUCUUGUAGAGGGGGGUGGAAUUCCAGGUGUAGCGGUGAAAUGCGUAGAGAUCUGGAGGAAUACCGGUGGCGAAGGCGGCCCCCUGGACAAAGACUGACGCUCAGGUGCGAAAGCGUGGGGAGCAAACAGGAUUAGAUACCCCGGUAGUCCCUGUCUCUUAUAC